RNAcentral lists this ribosomal RNA (129 nucleotides) under Lysinibacillus sp. SG9. RNAcentral describes it as "16S rRNA. Bacterial SSU". It matches the Rfam family "Bacterial small subunit ribosomal RNA", at positions 19 to 142 of the family's 1533-position model. Lineage: Bacteria; Bacillati; Bacillota; Bacilli; Caryophanales; Bacillaceae. The record is from RNAcentral.
CUGGCUCAGGACGAACGCUGGCGGCGUGCCUAAUACAUGCAAGUCGAGCGAACAGAGAAGGAGCUUGCUCCUUCGACGUUAGCGGCGGACGGGUGAGUAACACGUGGGCAACCUACCUUAUAGUUUGGG